UUGGGUUAAGUCCCGCAACGAGCGCAACCCUUGACCUUAGUUGCCAGCAUUCAGUUGGGCACUCUAAGGUGACUGCCGGUGACAAACCGGAGGAAGGUGGGGAUGACGUCAAAUCAUCAUGCCCCUUAUGACCUGGGCUACACACGUGCUACAAUGGACGGUACAAAGGGCUGCGAAACCGCGAGGUGGAGCCAAUCCCACAAAACCGUUCUCAGUUCGGAUUGCAGGCUGCAACUCGCCUGCAUGAAGCCGGAAUCGCUAGUAAUCGCGGAUCAGCAUGCCGCGGUGAAUACGUUCCCGGGCCUUGUACACACCGCCCGU
This 321-nucleotide ribosomal RNA is filed under the name uncultured Thermobacillus sp. Its description in RNAcentral is "bacterial SSU rRNA". It matches the Rfam family "Bacterial small subunit ribosomal RNA", at positions 1075 to 1397 of the family's 1533-position model. The record is from RNAcentral. Lineage: Bacteria; Bacillati; Bacillota; Bacilli; Caryophanales; Paenibacillaceae.